This 500-nucleotide ribosomal RNA is filed under the name uncultured bacterium. RNAcentral describes it as "partial 16S ribosomal RNA". It matches the Rfam family "Bacterial small subunit ribosomal RNA", at positions 30 to 523 of the family's 1533-position model. The record is from RNAcentral.
AUUGAACGCUGGCGCCAUGCCUUACACAUGCAAGUCGAACGGCAGCACGGGAGUAAUCCUGGUGGCGAGUGGCGAACGGGUGAGUAAAGUAUCGGAACGUGCCCAGUCGUGGGGGAUAACGUAGCGAAGGUUACGCUAAUACCGCAUACGAUCUAUGGAUGAAAGCGGGGGAUCGCAAGACCUCGCGCGAUUGGAGCAGCCGAUAUCCGAUUAGGUAGUUGGUGGGGUAAAGGCUCACCAAGCCGACGAUCUGGAGCUGGUCUGGGAGGACGACCGGCCACAAUGGGACUGACGCACGGCGCAGACUCCUACGGGCGGCAGCAGUGGGGAAUUUUGGACAAUGGGCGAAAGGCUGAUACAGCCAUGCCGCGUGCAGGAUGAAGGCCUUCGGGUUGUAAACUGCUUUUGUACGGAACGAAAAGGUUUGGGCUAAUAAGUUGAGCUCAUGACGGUACCGUAAGAAUAAGCACCGGCUAACUACGUGCCAGCCGCCGCAGUAA